UCUUCCGCCACUACAGUUCUGGCUCCGAGGCUGCAGUUAUACCCCUGUCAACUGACCAACGAUUGUUUCAUUCUUGGCAGUUUAUUGUACAAUUAGCCAUUUCUAGCAAAAAGGAUUGAACGCUGCACGAGACUAGGACGCGGUUGUGGUUUGCUUUGGUAAAAAGGAAUGGAAUGGAAUGGAAUCAAUUCUCCUGUUCUGCUAAGAUCCAUCAUUUCUUUUGGAGGCAGUGUGGUCCAGUGGUUAAAGUCCAGGGCUUGUAACCAGAAGGUCACCAGUUCAAAUCCCACCUCUGCCACUGACUGACUCACUUUGUGACCCUGAGCAAGUCACUUAACCUCCUUGUGCUCCGUCCUUCGGAUGAGAUGUUAAAUCAAUGUCCUGUUAGAGUUUGGGGCAGAGGCCUUAUGGCACGAGGGCAGUGCACCCAGACUCUGUCCCUGGCAUUGGAGGUCGUAGGCCCACAUCUGUCGACUUCCGACUCCUACGAGGGGCUCUGGCGAAGUGGUGGACUGCGUCGAGGUGGACCUGGGCGGUUCGUGAAUGUCCAGCUGCAGUGGCCUCCCAAUGGGGGUGCAGCUCUCGGACGAACAGUAGUGCAGUUGGAGUGCACCCUGUGGACUCCUGCACAGCUGACCAUUAAGCCAUCGGGACCAGGGACAGCUGAAGGGGUCUCAGUCGCGCUGCCUCCGGUCUGUCCAAAUGGCCAGCUGAGUGGCGAGGGUUCGGUUAAACCCAGUCCGUCGUUGUGGUAUGGGUCUUCCAGAUUCCCAGCCGAUGACAGACCUCUCAGAAGACCUGGGACUCAAAGUUUCACCCCUGGUCACUGUGCAGCUCUUUGGGCUGAACAUGCCCUCCAGCAGUUUUUCCACAUGUGUUUACAGAAAUCUAGUUGGUGUUUUAAAAGAUUAAUCAUUGGAUACUAUUUGUGGUACUGUGAUAUUUUGCCAUACUAUUACACCACCCCAGUUGAAUGCUAUCAAUUGUGUAUUAGGUUGUCUUAGUACUAUAUCAAUCUAAUCAGUGAUCUGGAUGGUUACUGUUUGCUUACUUUGCUUGAAUUGCAUAAUAUACAUUUUUA
Long non-coding RNA from Acipenser ruthenus (sterlet), 1081 nucleotides. RefSeq lists it as uncharacterized. The record is from RefSeq and is a predicted model, not a curated record. The transcript has 3 exons. Lineage: Eukaryota; Metazoa; Chordata; Actinopteri; Acipenseriformes; Acipenseridae.